GAAAGUAAAUUCUUAUUUUAUUUAUUAGUUUAUAUUAUUAAAUAGAAACAACUUAGUUUUUAGUAUAUUUUAUUGAAAUAAUUAUUUAGUGUUAUAGUUAAAAGUACUGUGAAGGAUGGAUAUUUUUUAUUUAAAAGUAAUUUUAAUUUAAUGUACCUUUUGUAUCAGGGCUUAUCAAUUUAUUAUAUUUAUUAUAGGUUUCCCGAAAUUAGAAGAGACAUGAUUGAAUGUUAGUUAAUGUGUCAUAAUUAUUGAUAAUUUAAUUAUUGUAAUGAAAUGUUAUUCGUUUCUAAAUAUCUGGUUUUCUUGGAAUUAAAUUUAAUUUAGGAUUUUCUUAUUUAAGGGAUAAUUUUAUUUUCUUUAUUUAUGAAUUUCUAAAAAUCUUGGGGAUAAGCUCGAGAUUAAUUAUAUAAGAGUAUAAUUAAUUGAGAUUUUGUAGGCUUGAGAUCAGCCAUCAUUCAUUUCGUUAUAGAGUACUCUUUAAUUGUAUUAAUUUAAUUUUCUUUAUUUUUUUACUUGAAUAAUUUAAUUAAUUAGGUAUUUUUUGUAAUAAUGAUUAGAUUAGUAUAAAUAGUGAAUUAAGUCAUAGGAACUCGGCAAAUUUAGUGUUCGCCUGUUUAACAAAAACAUGUCCUUUUGUAUUUUUAUUUAAGGUCUAGCCUGCCCAAUGAGGAAUUGAAUGGCCGCAGUAUCCUAACUGUGCUAAGGUAGCAUAAUCAUUUGUCUUUUAAUUGAAGGCUUGGAUGAAAGGUUGGACGAGAUAUUAGCUUUCUUUGAUUUAAUUUGUAGAAUUUAAUUUUUGAGUUAAAAAGCUUAAAUUUAUUUGUUGGACGAGAAGACCCUAUAGAUCUUUAUAGCUUAAAAUUUUAUUAAUUUGGUGAUUGUAUUUAUUUAGAAUGGAAGGUUAUUUUGUUGGGGUGACUGUAGAAUAUAAUUAACUUCUAUUUUUUUUGUUCAUUAAUUAGUGUUUUUUUGAUCCAUAAUUUAUGAUUAAAAGAUUAAGUUACCUUAGGGAUAACAGCGUAAUUUUUUCGGAGAGUUCAUAUUGAUGAAGAAGUUUGCGACCUCGAUGUUGGAUUAAAAUAAGUUAUAGGUGCAGAAGCCUAUGUACUGGGUCUGUUCGACCCUUAAUUUUUUACAUGAUCUGAGUUCAGACCGGCGUAAGCCAGGUCAGUUUCUAUCCUCAAUUGUUAAUUUACAUUUUAGUACGAAAGGACCGAAUGUAAGGAAUAUUUCUUAUAUUUUUGAUUAAUAUU
This 1256-nucleotide ribosomal RNA is filed under the name Linshcosteus costalis. Its description in RNAcentral is "16S ribosomal RNA". The stretch from base 824 to 1187 matches the Rfam family "Archaeal large subunit ribosomal RNA", at positions 2150 to 2716 of the family's 2987-position model. Lineage: Eukaryota; Metazoa; Arthropoda; Insecta; Hemiptera; Reduviidae. The record is from RNAcentral.